CCCAUUCGUGAUGCGCUCGCGACGCGCUGGCUAGCCGUCUUUACAAACGAACCACAACAAAAACAUUCCAAUUUCGAACAUUUUCAAACUUCAAAACAAUAUAAGUCUCCCGCGCAUUUUUGUAACGAUUUUUUAUCCCAUGUAAAAUUGUAUUAACAAAAUAAGCCAUGUUAAUAACGAUUCUCGCGAUUUUUGGAGCGGUGGUGUUGUUUUUCUCUUUACUAAACUUUCUGUGGACACCAUUGGAAUUAAUUUCGUCCUAUUUGAUGCCCUUUUUCCUGCCAUCGGAAGUGGAGCCGUUGUCAAAGCGAUUUGGACCUUGGGCGGCGGUGACGGGCUGCACGGACGGCAUCGGCAAGCAUUACUCCGUCGAGCUGGCCAAACGAGGGCUGAAUAUCGUCCUCAUCAGUCGGAACCCGGAGAAACUACACGCCGUGGCCAAGGAGAUAGAGCAGACGCAUCAUGUGAAGACCAAGGUCAUCGUGGCGGACUUCACGCAGGGCGCCGAGAUAUACCCCCACAUCGAGAAACAGCUCAAAGACCUGGACUUGGGGAUCUUAGUAAACAACGUAGGCCUAAACUACGAAUGUCCGAUCGAGCUGUGCUGCGCCCCUCCGUCUCGAUCCUGGGACCUAAUCGUCGUCAACGUAGGCGCAGCCACCAUGCUCACCCGCGCCAUGUUGCCUUACAUGGCGACCCGAGGUCGUGGAGCUGUCGUUAAUAUCUCCUCGUCGUCGGAGCUGCAGCCUAUGCCGCUUAUGGCCGUAUAUGGAGCCACUAAGGCGUACCUCCGUAGCUUCACGCACGCCAUCCGCGAAGAAUACGGCCCGAAAGGCAUCUAUGUCCAGCACGUGGCACCUUUCUUCGUGUCCACCAAGAUGAACGCGUUCUCCGCCACGGUCAUGGCCGGCGGGCCGUUAGUUCCUACCCCUGAAGCAUACGCAAGAUAUGCUGUAGCGAUGUUAGGAAGGGUACAGGAUACUACGGGGUAUUGGGUGCAUGGAGUUCAGGUUAGUAUAAUAACUGUACGGAUCCGGUUAGAAGGACCAUUAGCACGUGGCGCUUUCUUCGUGUCCACCAAGAUGAACGCGUUCUCCGCCACGGUCAUGGCCGGCGGGCUGUUAGUUCCUACCCCUGAAGCAUACGCAAGAUAUGCUGUAGCGAUGUUAGGAAGGGUACAGGAUACUACGGGGUAUUGGGUGCAUGGAGUUCAGGUUAGUAUAAUAACUGUACGGAUCCGGUUAGAAGGACCAUUAGCACGUGGCACCUUUCUUCGUGUCCACCAAGAUGAACGCGUUCUCCGCCACGGUCAUGGCCGGCGGGCCGUUAGUUCCUACCCCUGAAGCAUACGCAAGAUAUGCUGUAGCGAUGUUAGGAAGGGUACAGGAUACUACGGGGUAUUGGGUGCAUGGAGUUCAGGCUUUUUUCACCCAGUUGGCUCCAGUCUGGUUCCGCACGAAGGUCGCCUGGCACCUCAACCAGGGAUUCCGGCAAGAAUAUCUACGAAAUCAGAAGGCGCAAUAGCCUAGAACACAAAUCUUCUUCAUGCGAAAUACG
Cydia splendana is the source of this 1557-nucleotide RNA transcript. It is a transcript of the gene named inactive hydroxysteroid dehydrogenase-like protein 1, with no coding region annotated. The transcript has 6 exons. The record is from RefSeq and is a predicted model, not a curated record. Lineage: Eukaryota; Metazoa; Arthropoda; Insecta; Lepidoptera; Tortricidae.